UGCCGGAUGCUCCAGUUGACCGCAUGGUCCUCUGGGAAAGCUUUUGCGGUAUGGGAUGGGGUCGCGUCCUAUCAGCUUGAUGGCGGGGUAACGGCCCACCAUGGCUUCGACGGGUAGCCGGCCUGAGAGGGCGACCGGCCACAUUGGGACUGAGAUACGGCCCAGACUCCUACGGGAGGCAGCAGUGGGGAAUAUUGCACAAUGGGCGCAAGCCUGAUGCAGCGACGCCGCGUGCGGGAUGACGGCCUUCGGGUUGUAAACCGCUUUUGACUGGGAGCAAGCCCUUCGGGGUGAGUGUACCUUUCGAAUAAGCACCGGCUAACUACGUGCCAGCAGCCGCGGUAAUACGUAGGGUGCAAGCGUUAUCCGGAAUUAUUGGGCGUAAAGGGCUCGUAGGCGGUUCGUCGCGUCCGGUGUGAAAGUCCAUCGCUUAACGGUGGAUCCGCGCCGGGUACGGGCGGGCUUGAGUGCGGUAGGGGAGACUGGAAUUCCCGGUGUAACGGUGGAAUGUGUAGAUAUCGGA
This 523-nucleotide ribosomal RNA is filed under the name Bifidobacterium adolescentis. Its description in RNAcentral is "partial 16S ribosomal RNA". It matches the Rfam family "Bacterial small subunit ribosomal RNA", at positions 167 to 701 of the family's 1533-position model. Lineage: Bacteria; Bacillati; Actinomycetota; Actinomycetes; Bifidobacteriales; Bifidobacteriaceae. The record is from RNAcentral.